CAGGUGGGGGCCGCAGCGCCCGGCAGGCUGAGGGGUGAUUAUUCCUCAUUUAGCUGUACGCGGCGAAACACCCCAAAGAUUCCGGCAUUAGCGGGCACUAUAAAUCUCUAGGACGCCGCAGCUGCGACUGGAUUAUUUAUAGCUCCGCUUUUACAUUACCGAGUCCAAAACAUCACACAAAGAGGAAGGUAAUGAAAUCUCCACCUCUCCAGCCGUCGAUCUCUAAUCUAAAGCGGCAUUUCCAGGAGCCAUUUUCACUCGGCCCGGGAGUCGAGGAACAAACACGUUCGCACCCUCCCACCGGCUGGCAGGCAGCCCCGCAGCUGGCACGCACGGACACACGCACACACGCACACACGCACACACGCACUCCGGUCCCCCCGUUCCUCACUGAGAGAUACAAAAACUCUCGUGCAUUUGCAGCUUAGCACGGGCAAACAUCCGCAUCUCUGCCCUUUCGGCCCCACAAAUACACAACCGCGAACACAUUCUGGGUUAAAUUCUGAUUUCACUUACGGUAUGCAAAUAUAAGAGCCGAAUACUUCCAUUAAGAUAACAGAUUUACAACUGUGUAACUGAGAUCAGAAUAUGGUGCUGACUCUCUCAUACAUAAAUUUCCAUAGCUGCUCCCGAAUUUGUCUCUUUCCUCAGCCGCCUCGCCACGCGUUAAUCAUUCAGCAUUUAAAUCAGCCUUCCACUUGCUUCGUUUUGCUUUGUCAAUGAAAAUUGUUCAGCAUUAAUUAUAAAACUCAAUCUCUACUGAGGUUUUCUUGGCUUUUUUUUUUUUCAUUAGUGGGUGGAAGUGUGGAUUUGCAGUCUUCUGGUUCUGCCUUCAGAAAUACCCCGUGUGCCAUCCAUGCUGCAGAACACGUUCUGCCUGAGGGUGCCCGCGAAGCUCAGCUUUCAGCCACUUUCCGAACCUAAAGAUUUGCAUCCCAGCAUCGCAGAUGAUUUCAGGUUACAAAGUGAAGAGUUGACAACAACUGUUGAUGCGUUCUGAGUUAUGUCUCUGUGACAGCGCUCCAACACGGCUCUAGUUUUUCACAGUGGUUGAACCUCUCCAGAUUUGCUUUCGUUUUUUACAAUCAAAAGGAUUGGACAUCCCUGGUCCAGCGCGCUGAGCAAUCCUGCAGCACAAUGCUAUGCGAGUACUGCAGUGCACACGGUAUGGUAAUAAACCAGGCUGCUGCAGCCAACAGCAAAUCACAAGGCGAUAAAACACAAAGGCUGAAGGAUUGGGUUGAGCUGGGAUAUGUUUUAGUGCAUGUGCUGAAUGCGGUAAGGGAGAGGCUGACUGAAAAUACAGACUCAUUAACAGGAAAGUGACUAAGCUCAUCUUUACAGGUGUGAUUUUCACAAUUGUGAAUGUUUUACUCAAUUAUUACAAGGCAUCAACUAUAGCAGCGUGUAAAUGCUUCCCGAUCUUUUCAUUAUGCUGGGAUGCCGCAACCUAUAUUUAACCCAAGGGGAGGAAUGUGCUCCAGAAACAAUUCUCACUUAGGCAAUCAUUUCUCUUAUCAGUCACAGAGAUCUGUCAGACCACUCUCACUGCCAACCAGGGAUUACAAAGAGAGGAAAAAGGGCAACCGGGAGAAAACUGUAUCUCUGCAAAAAUACAGUAUGGAUCUGUGUCAAGAAAUGAAGGUAACCUCCAAAGUGACAGUAAGAAGAUGAACAGUGCAAACGCUUUUCACCUUCUGGGAUUCUGGCAGGAGUGUCAGGCCCUGAGUGCAGCCACGGUGCCCUCCCCUUCUGGACCUGUGGCUGUGAGGACAGCAAUAGUGCCCGUCACCCCACACAUGACACACAGAUGCCCCCCGUCCCCCAUACCCUGACAGUGCCAGGGCUGAUGGGCGCUCUGUGCGGCCGAGAUGGGUUUGUGGCUCGCACUGCUCACAGAGCUGCUGCCCUCUGCACUGGGCAGUAAUCGCCCCAAUUGCAGAGAACACCCGAAAUAAAGGGCUUUGAGAAGAGAUCAGGGAUGGAAUCAACCCGGCAUGCUAAGCCAGGGAGGAAUGGGACGCUGUAGAGCGGGAAGUGAAUACUACCCAGGCUACACACAUUCUGUGAACAACUAGAAACCUUCAAUCUCCACAGCUAUCAGGCAGCAUUUUUCACUCCUACUGGAAAAUUGGAAAAUAAGAAGUGUCUUUACUCUGUGAUGGAAUAAAAAUAAGUAGAAAUAACAGUACUUAGUCAAAUAACACAGCAUCUCUCCAAUAUAACAGAAGUUGUGCUUUAGCUAAACACUCAGAUAGCAAGUUGGGAGUGAGCCCAGGGUUUGGGUUUAUUUAUUUUGCACAGAGCUCUGCGUGUAAUGCUCUGGUGAGGUUAGCAUGCAAACAAAGAGGAAGGCUUGGUGUUAGUCAACUUGUGUUCUCUCCCAGUAAUAGAAGAGUAG
Molecule: long non-coding RNA, 2401 nt
Organism: Gallus gallus (chicken)
Lineage: Eukaryota; Metazoa; Chordata; Aves; Galliformes; Phasianidae
Source: Ensembl